Molecule: ribosomal RNA, 326 nt
Filed under: uncultured bacterium
Lineage: Bacteria
Description: bacterial SSU rRNA
Rfam family: Bacterial small subunit ribosomal RNA
Source: RNAcentral
GAUGAACGCUGGCGGUAUGCCUAACACAUGCAAGUCGUACGAGAGUUUUUAAACUCUAGUGGCGGACGGGUGAGUAACACGUGAGAAUUUGCCUUUAGGAGGGGGAUAACAAUUGGAAACGAAUGCUAAUACCCCAUAUGCUUUUGAGUGAAAUGGAUUUUAUCCGCCUAGAGAGAAGCUCGCGGCUGAUUAGCUUGUUGGUAAGGUAAGAGCUUACCAAGGCGACGAUCAGUAUCUGGUUUGAGAGGACGAUCAGACACACUGGAACUGAGACACGGUCCAGACUCCUACGGGAGGCAGCAGUGGGGGAAUUUUCCGCAAUGGGC